UUACAGCUCUUUUUUGAACAGUUAUACCACAACCAGGUGGAUCUCUCUGGCAUCAAUCAAGCUCACAUUUCCCUCUUGCCCAAGAAGGAAACACCUCUGGAGCUGCGCGAUUUCAGGCCAAUUUCUAUGGUUCACAUUGUCCCUAAGUUGGAUAGCAAGGUCCUUGCCCAAAGAUUACAAGUGCUGAUCCCUUCC
RNAcentral lists this ribosomal RNA (195 nucleotides) under Triticum aestivum (bread wheat). RNAcentral describes it as "partial small subunit ribosomal RNA". Lineage: Eukaryota; Viridiplantae; Streptophyta; Magnoliopsida; Poales; Poaceae. The record is from RNAcentral.